CACGUAGUUAGCCGGGGCUUUCUCGUGAGGUACCGUCACCGCGCCGCCUUAUUCAAACGGCGCUCCUUCGUCCCUCACAACAGAGCUUUACGACCCGAAGGCCCUCUUCGCUCACGCGGCGUCGCUCCGUCAGACUUUCGUCCAUUGCGGAAGAUUCCCUACUGCUGCCUCCCGUAGGAGUCUGGGCCGUGUCUCAGUCCCAGUGUGGCCGGUCACCCUCUCAGGCCGGCUACGCAUCGUCGCCUUGGUGAGCCGUUACCUCACCAACUAGCUAAUGCGCCGCGGGCCCAUCCGCAAGUGACAGCCGAAGCCGCCUUUCAACCAAAGACCAUGCGGUCUUUGGUGUUAUCCGGUAUUAGCUCCGGUUUCCCGGAGUUAUCCCGGUCUUGCGGGCAGGUUGCCCACGUGUUACUCACCCGUCCGCCGCUGGCCAAACAAGAGCAAGCUCUCGUUCGGUCCGCUCGACUUGCAUGUAUUAGGCACGCCGCCAGCGUCGUCUCGAGCCGCGAGUCAACUAC
This 518-nucleotide ribosomal RNA is filed under the name uncultured Geobacillus sp. RNAcentral's name for it is "partial 16S ribosomal RNA". The record is from RNAcentral. Lineage: Bacteria; Bacillati; Bacillota; Bacilli; Caryophanales; Anoxybacillaceae.